UGGCCCCUCCUCUUCUCUCCCUGUAUCUUCUCUUCUGUCUUUCAGCAAGGACACUCACUUCUCUUUGCAUUUAGGGCCCACAAAGAGGGUCCUAGCCAGCUGCAUCAUCUCCAGCCUGGACCUGUCCUUACCAAGUCAUCAGUGCAGAUGUUUCUAGGAACUGAGGAAUGUGAGGGGAGCCAUCAAACCCUGCCUGAGCCAUUUUCUACUUCUCUGACAGCUCUCAGGGGACUCCCAUCUUCAAAGAGUGCCUCGGUGCUUUUCCUCUUCAUCUCCUGGGACUGUUGAGAGAGAACUUAAUGUCCAAAGGAGUCCCCAAGGAGCCACAUGCUGCUUGAAUUAUGUAAAGCUGUCACAUUGAGAGCAGCCCUGUGGAGAGGCCCACAUGGCCUGGAGCUGAGGGUGGCCUCUGGCCAAUGGCCCGUGAGGAACCAAAUUCUGCCAAUGAUCAUCUUCCUUCAUCACUGUCUCAUCACAUCAAAUAUGGCUGAAGUGGAACUGAUGGCCCCAUGCUACAUGACACCUUCCUUUCCCCAGAAGAUGACAGCAGCUUUUAAGACUGGAGACUCUGAGAAAGCCCCACCCAUCCUAGAGUGAUGGCUUUCAUUGUCAAAGAAAGAGUGCCUUUUGGAGGCCAUUGGAAUCUUAUGGCCACGGUGACCUGUUCCAUUUCUUAAAUCUCUCAUUUCUUGCACUUUUUAGAGUCCAUUUUCAUGAGAAACUGUCUAUCGAUGAAAUAAGGAAGAAAGAGCAGGAACCCCGUGAUCUCUUGCAGUUUCUCUUGUAGCUCAGGUGUUUGAGUCUAGGAUGACUGGUUUUGCAAAUUCUCUGUCUGUGAAAAGUUCAUUUUAAGAUCCACUGUGGUAGAAAUUGCCAAAUGAAUUGAAAUUUCCAUUCUAUAUGAGUAGCUGGUAUUUUGAGCAGUUUUAGGUACUUGAGCUCUGCUUGUCUGACCUUGGGCUGCACCAUGAUGAUAUCUGAGCAACCAUUCUCUUAGUGUGUGUUGGCUCAUGGUGCCUGGCUGGGUGAAGUGAAUGUAGUACCCACUGGUACCAUUCCCGAGGCCAGAGUUCCUGUCCCCAAGGGGUUCAGAGUCUAGGAGUGGAGACAUAAUGUCAGUAUGAUGCUGUGAGUGUGGAGUAGAAGUGUGCAGGAGAUGUUAUGGUGACAGAGAGGAGGAUUCUCUGGUCCAUUCCUGUGGAAGGAAGGAAAGGCUGGAAAAUUUCUUAAAGAGAUAUAUUCAAGUAAAGUUGAAAAGGGUAAGUAAGAGUUAGCCAGAAAAAGCAGAAGCAUGGGAUGCAUAAGGAAGAAAAGUCAACAUGAGUGAAGUCAGAGACAUGUACUUGGAACUGCAAGCAGUUGGGGAAAGCAGUAUAACGGUGACAAAACAGGAUUUGAAGUUUGACUGACCUGGGUUCAAACCCUAGAUCCAUCGGUUUCCACUGCAUGAUUAUGGUCAUGUCAUUAGCUUCUCCUUGCCUCAGUUUUCUCAUCUGUAAGAUGGGAUAAUGAAAAAAAUCCACCAAAUAGGGUGGUUGAGAGGAUGAAAAGAAAUACAUAUAACAUUGUGUCUGGACCACAUAAAAAGCUGAAUAAAUACUAUUAGCCAGUAGGCAAGUAUAAAUAUGGACCACGAGAAGGCCAAUCUAUGCUAGAGAUGUAAUGUAGGAAACCGUCAACAUAAAGAUGCCUACUGAGGGCAUGAGAGAGAGUGAAGCUGUAUUCACUAGCUUUUGCUGCAUAGCAAAUCAUUCCCAAAUUUUAGUGACUUAAAACAACCGUGUAUUAUUUUUCAUGAGUUUAUAAAUUCUGUGAGGUGGGCGAGGCUUGGCUGAUCUUAGAAGGGCUUGAUCCUGUACCUAUGCUGGCUGGUGGGUUGGCUGAGGCUGGCUGGUCUCAGACAGCCUCACUCAGCAGCUGCUUGGCUGAUGAUUGACAGGAGUGAUUAGACCGUAGAGUUGUCAUCAUCCAAGAGGCUAGCGCAGGCUUGCUCGCACACAGUGAGUCCCAGACUGGGCACUGGCACAGUGUUGCUUUGCCUCCUCUCUUAGCCAAAGUCAGUCAAGGCCAGUCUAGAUUCAAGAGGCAGGUAAAUAGACUCCACCUCCUGAUGGGAAGAAUUGCAAAGUUACAUUACAAAGAACAGAUACAGAGAGAGGUAGCAAAUUGGGACUAUUUUUGCAAAUAAGCUACCAUAGAACCUACUCAAGAUCAGGAUGUAGAAAAAAAAGUGAAGAAAGUUCAGCAUGUAACUCUGUCAUUCAAGGUCAAGAAGGGGUAGAUAGUAGCCUAGAAGAAUAUGGGAAAACCAGGAAAGUAUGGUUUUCAGAAGCUAAUGAGAAGAGAGAGUUUCUAGAAAAGAUAAAUAGUUAACAGCAUCAAGCUGCUGAGAACCCAAGGAACAUAUGACUGUAGA
Long non-coding RNA from Callithrix jacchus (white-tufted-ear marmoset), 2416 nucleotides. RefSeq lists it as uncharacterized. The record is from RefSeq and is a predicted model, not a curated record. Lineage: Eukaryota; Metazoa; Chordata; Mammalia; Primates; Cebidae.